This 252-nucleotide ribosomal RNA is filed under the name uncultured bacterium. RNAcentral describes it as "partial 16S ribosomal RNA". It matches the Rfam family "Bacterial small subunit ribosomal RNA", at positions 524 to 776 of the family's 1533-position model. The record is from RNAcentral.
UACGUAGGGGCUAGCGUUGUCCGGAUUUAUUGGGCGUAAAGAGCGUGUAGGCGGCCAGGUAGGUCUGCUGUGAAAACUCGAGGCUCAACCUCGAGACGUCGGCGGAAACCAUCUGGCUAGAGUCCGGAAGAGGAGAGUGGAAUUCCUGGUGUAGCGGUGAAAUGCGCAGAUAUCAGGAAGAACACCCGUGGCGAAGGCGGCUCUCUGGGACGGUACUGACGCUGAGACGCGAAAGCGUGGGGAGCGAACAGG